Non-coding RNA from Schistocephalus solidus, 72 nucleotides. The record is from Rfam. NCBI's taxonomy places the organism in Eukaryota, Metazoa, Platyhelminthes, Cestoda, Diphyllobothriidea, Diphyllobothriidae.
GGCCUCGUAGCUCAGUUGGCUAGGGCGUUGGCCUUCCCCUUGCUGGCGUGGGUUCGAAUUCCACCGAGACUG